CAGUAAUCUAGGCACAGCUGAUCUCAGGGCGUCUGACUCAGGAUCUCUCACAAGAUGGCAAUCACAGCACUGGUGGGCACUGUGGUCUCAUGAGAGAGCUGGACUUGGGGCAGAUCCGCUUCCAAGCUCACUCAAGGUAUUGUGAGAGGCAUUCAGGUCCUCGUGUGCUGCUGGACUCAGAGGUUUGUGGAAGCGUUCGGGUCCUCACGUGCUGCUGGACGGAGGGCCUCAGUCCCUCAGUGGCUGUUGACCAAAGGCCUCGCUUAGUUCCUUACCGUGUGGACUUCUCCAAGGGCAGCUCACACAUGGGGAUUGGCCUCUAUCAAAGCGGGUAAGAGGGAAAGAUUGGGGGCAUGCCCCUAGAUAAAGCCACAGUCUUUGUAACCUAAACCUAAUCUCAGCAAUGACACCUUAUAAUUUCUGUCAUGUGUUAUGAAUUAGAGGCAAGUCAGUAAGUCCAGUUCAAACCUAAAGGAAAGGGAGUGCACGAGGAUGUGAGUUCUGGGAGGUGAGGCUCUCUGGGGCCAUCUUGGAGGCUGCCGACUACAGUGUGAACUCUUAUUUUAUUCAGAAGAUUUGGUAUAUUUGCUGGCCAGAAAGCAAGGAACUGUUCUAACAAACUUUCUGAAUCUCUGAAAAAAACUCAUGAAAAGAAGAGUGAAGGAGGCAGAGUCCCGGAUAUUCUUAGCCAGACCCUCCAUGAGCUUGGCUGCCAUCUGACACAAACAUGUCAGCGGGGACGGAAGAUGAGCACGGGGCCAUCCAGGAAACAGUUGAAAAUGUGGAAUUGAAUGUCAUAAAGAAG
RNAcentral lists this long non-coding RNA (805 nucleotides) under Homo sapiens (human). Its description in RNAcentral is "non-protein coding lnc-TSN-6:1". Lineage: Eukaryota; Metazoa; Chordata; Mammalia; Primates; Hominidae. The record is from RNAcentral.